RNAcentral lists this ribosomal RNA (439 nucleotides) under uncultured bacterium. Its description in RNAcentral is "SSU rRNA". It matches the Rfam family "Bacterial small subunit ribosomal RNA", at positions 26 to 518 of the family's 1533-position model. The record is from RNAcentral.
AGAAUGAACGCUAGCGAUAUGCUUAACACAUGCAAGUUGAACGUUGUUUUCGAAUCAGAAUGAGAACAAAGUAGCGAACGGGUGCGUAACACGUGGGAAUCUGCCGAACAGUUUGGGCCAAAUCCCGAAUGAAUAAAAGCUAAAAAGCGCUGUUUGAUGAGCCCACGUAGUAUUAGGUAGUUGGUUAGGUAAAAGCUGACCAAGCCUACGAUGCUUAGCUGGUCUUUUCGGAUGAUCAGCCACACUGGGACUGAGACACGGCCCAGACUCCUACGGGAGGCAGCAGUGGGGAAUCUUGGACAAUGGGCGAAAGCCUGAUCCGGCAAUAUGGCGUGAGUGAAGAAGGGCAACGCAGCUUGUAAAGCUCUUUCAUCGAGUGUGCGAUUGUGACAAGACUCGAAAUAAGAAGCCCCGGCUAACUCCGCGCCAGGCAGCCGAC